UACGUAGGGACCAAGCGUUGUCCGGAAUCAUUGGGCGUAAAGAGCGUGUAGGCGGCUUGUUAAGUCUUGCGUGAAAUCUCGGGGCUUAACCCUGGGCCUGCAGUGGAUACGGGCAGACUAGAGGUAGGUAGGGGAGAAUGGAAUUCCCGGUGUAGCGGUGAAAUGAGCAGAUAUCGGGAGGAACACCGGUGGCGAAGGCGGUUCUCUGGGCCUUACCUGACACUGAGGAGCGAAAGCGUGGGGAGCGAACAGG
This 253-nucleotide ribosomal RNA is filed under the name uncultured bacterium. RNAcentral describes it as "partial 16S ribosomal RNA". It matches the Rfam family "Bacterial small subunit ribosomal RNA", at positions 524 to 776 of the family's 1533-position model. The record is from RNAcentral.